Molecule: ribosomal RNA, 124 nt
Filed under: Clostridioides difficile
Lineage: Bacteria; Bacillati; Bacillota; Clostridia; Peptostreptococcales; Peptostreptococcaceae
Description: partial 23S ribosomal RNA
Rfam family: Bacterial large subunit ribosomal RNA
Source: RNAcentral
AAGAUAAGAUUUCCCACCGCAAGGGUAAGACCCCAGAAAGACUAUCUGGUUGAUAGGUCGAAGGUGUAAGUGCAGCAAUGUAUUUAGCUUAUCGAUACUAAUAGGUCGAGGACUUGACCAAAUU